CCUACGGGUGGCUGCAGUGAGGAAUAUUGGUCAAUGGACGAGAGUCUGAACCAGCCAAGUAGCGUGAAGGAUGACUGCCCUCUGGGUUGUAAACUUCUUUUAUAUGGGAAUAAAACGUUCCACGUGUGGGAUUUUGUAUGUACCAUAUGAAUAAGGAUCGGCUAACGCCGUGCCAGCAGCCGCGGUAAUACGGAGGAUCCGAGCGUUAUCCGGAUUUAUUGGGUGUAAAGGGAGCGUAGGAGGACUGUUAAGUCAGUUGUGAAAGCUUGCGGCUCAACCGUAAAAUUGCAGUUGAUACUGGCAGUCGUGAGUACAGUAGAGGUGGGCGGAAUUCGUGGUGUAGCGGUGAAAUGCUUAGAUAUCACGAAGAAAUCCGAUUGCGAAGGCAGUUCACUGGACUGCAACUGACAGUGAGGCGCGAAAGUGUGGGUAGCAAACAGGAUUAGAUACCCGAGUAGUC
RNAcentral lists this ribosomal RNA (460 nucleotides) under uncultured bacterium. RNAcentral's name for it is "partial 16S ribosomal RNA". It matches the Rfam family "Bacterial small subunit ribosomal RNA", at positions 338 to 795 of the family's 1533-position model. The record is from RNAcentral.